Long non-coding RNA from Brassica rapa (field mustard), 2827 nucleotides. RefSeq lists it as uncharacterized. Lineage: Eukaryota; Viridiplantae; Streptophyta; Magnoliopsida; Brassicales; Brassicaceae. The record is from RefSeq and is a predicted model, not a curated record.
CUGACAAAGUUUUUUGACUUGUUCCAACAUUAAUUCUCUAUAUAUUCCCCCACGCUUUACCACAUCUAUGUAUAUUGUAUAUUGUUUUCUUUUUCAACUUUUUAAUCAUGUUAUAUAUAUUUUAAUAUUUCUUGUUACAUGUUUUCUAAGAAAAAGCUGACCAUGAAGAAAAAUAAUAGAUAAUGUAGUGCAUUGUGUGUUUGGCUGAUUUAUUUUCUAGUGAACAUUGAAAUCUAAGUAUCUUACAGAUUGUUGGACAAAAAAAGGAAAAAAAAAUGUUAUAGAUCAAUGAAGAGAAUUUUUUGUAGUGCACUUUUUUUUUUAACAUUCUUAUCUUUUGUUAUUGCCUAUCGUUUUUUCGAAUAUUAGUUUCCAAUUUCCAAUCAUUUGAAUAUAUGAGUUUUAUUACGAAUCAAUGUCGAUUUUUUUUCUUAAACCUUGUCGUCUGAAUGAUAAAGAGGAGAAAUCUAUGUAAACAGACACUUCUAAAGAAAAUGUAUAAUGAAAAUAUGAAUUGUAAUUGUCUUAGAGAUAUGUGUACUUGUCCUCACUAUCCUAAGAAUGAAAACUAAAUCUUUAUAAGAAACUAGAAAUGCCUUUUUAGUUUAUAAAAUCUCAAAUUCAUUUAAGUUUAGAAAAUUGUUUUUUAUACAAUAUUUAUGAUUUUUUAAGAAAAUUAACUUUACAUUUUUUUUGGUAGAAAAGUUAACUUGUCUUUACAUAAACUCACGAACCCAAUUAUUAUAUGUAACGGCAAUGCAAAUUUAAACAUUUCGUCAACUACAAUCCAAAAUUCAAAUUAGCGUUAUAACUUUUUCGAAGUGGAAUUAAAUUAUAUUCAAACAAAAAAAAACGGUUUUACAAUACUACUAAAUGGACUCUUAAAAGAAGAUAAGAAAGAAAGCGUUUCUAGUGAGGUGUUGUCUUGGCUUUUAAGUAGUUUGACGUUAAACUGCAACCAUAGGCUUGAUUCAUUUGCUUGGUCGCCCAUUGAUCAACUUAAUGUGAGGCGAUUACUUGUAUUCUUAUCGUUGCGUUUGGCAAGGGGCAAAGGUGCCCGAGGAUUUUGAUUCUACCACUGAGCCCAUGCCAUAUCUGAUACAGAGUUAAUUAGAAUACUAACAGAAUAUGAAUCAUGAAUGUAGUGGGUUGAUAAAAAAAAACUGGUUAUGGUUGUGGAGAGAUUGAAUGAGUUGAUCACAUGACGUUGUAAUAGAUUUAAAAUGGCUGAGGGUUAGGUGACCCCAUAGUCCUGCAAUAAAAACACAAACAAAGAAUAGAUGACCUCUUAGCUCCGGAAAAAAACAUAAUAUGCAUCCACUUUACUGUUUCUGAUUCCAAUACGCAUUUAUCUUUUACCAUCGUCGUUUGCAUUCAAACCAAUGGCCGAAGAUAACUCAACUUGACCCAAGCUUUAGAUAUGUAAAUGACAUUUCAUUCAAUCCAAUGGCAAAAUAUUUGGUUUUAGAUACUUGGCUAAUCGUUUGGUAAAUUAUACUUUAAAAACCACAUCCGGAUUACAUAUUGGAUCACAGAGUUUAUCGGUUCGACCGCUGAUCCAGUAAAUAAAAGCACUGAUUUAAAUGCAAAUAUUUUUUUUAACAUAAAAAUUCUUUCAAAUUAAUAAAACAUCUGUAAAAUUGUUAAUACAAUUUUUCACCACAAAAUAUUCUGCGUUUUGAAAGUAUGGAUCAAAAUUAAAAUCUAUUUUCACUAUAGUUUUUUAAAAUAUUUUAAACUAAUAAAUAAUGUAAUAUUUUAAUUAUGGUCAUUCUUGGUUACUAUCAUAUGGAUCAUGAUUGUUUUUUUUGUUAAUUUAUCUAUAUGGUAAAGUAGAUUUAUUUUAAAGUUAAAAAUAUUACUAUUUUAGUUUAUGUGAAUAUCUUAUAAUAAAAUCUUUAAAAUUUUGUAUUAUAAUGUAUAUAUUAAUAUUUAUUGUGCAAUAUUUUCUAUUUUAUAUUUAUUUAUAAAAUUAGAUUUAUCUAAAUUUAUUUUCACUGUAGUAAUUAUAUAUAUAUAUAAAUAUAUAUAUAUGAAAAUUCAUAAGUAAUUAAGCAUCUAGUUGUCAUUCUAUCUACCAUUUUAGUUGAAACAUAAAUAUAAUUUUGUUACCAUUAAUUGAUUGUAUGAUGUUAUGCAUGACAUUAUAAAUGAAGUGUUUUGCUUACAAUAUAUUUUCAAUUUUUCUCUUUGAAAUUUUAUGUCUUCUUUAUUUUAAUAAUUUUUAUUUAUAUAUCCCAUAUUUGUUAAAUGCAGUAUAUACUCAUGUAUUAAAUUAUUAUUUAAUAUAAUUUAUUGUUAAUGUUUUUAGUUUGCUUAGGUUAAACUCGAUUUGAAAUUAUGUUUCGAGUGAGGAAGAUAAACUCGAUUUGGAAUUUUUCUUAAAUGAAAUGUUUUUUUCAAAAAAUGGCGUUGUAUUGGGUAUAAGGAAUGUUACUCGAGUUUAAGUCUUGACUUAUUCGAGUUUUUUAAAUGGCCGAGUCAACAAAAAAUGAAAUUUAAAACGGCAAAUAUCUAAAAAUUGAGAACUAUUUUGGCUCAAACAUGAGUUGGAGGUUUUUUGGCUUUAAUUUUAAAAUUUAGGAUUUUAAUGGCUAUUUCCUCUAAUUAUGUAUGAUUUUUAUUUUUACAAUAUUUAAUGAUUUAUUUUAGUAUUUAACUUUGAGAAAAUCAUCAACCUAAUCAUGCUAUGUAACGGCAAUGCAAACAAACAAUAUCAGUUAUCUAAAAUACAAAAUUUGAACUAGCAUUACAGUUUUGAAUGAAUAUUAAACUAUAUUCAAACAUAAAACUGUUUUAAAAUACUAGUUUAUAUGAAUGUUUAAAA